CGAUUCUUAAUAAAUAAACCGACCUGUAUAUUCGAAUCGAGUUCAAACGUGGAAACGAUCAAACGUUUUGCAACGCGUUUACUUAAUUCGACAAAAGCGAUUUUAAUGGAAUUCCGUAGGCAAAUAUAAUAUAGGAACGUUGAUUUUAGAAUCCGGUCGAUUUUUCGAAAAUUAAUAAAUUUGUACGUUUGAAGGUAUUAUAAAUAAUCGCAACGGUAAUUAAAAUUCGUACGGCCUUUCUUUUUCCAUAUCCCUUUUAACGUUUAACGUGCAUA
Molecule: non-coding RNA, 275 nt
Organism: Cinara cedri
Lineage: Eukaryota; Metazoa; Arthropoda; Insecta; Hemiptera; Aphididae
Source: the annotation of a GenBank genome assembly